UACGAAGGGGGCUAGCGUUGCUCGGAAUCACUGGGCGUAAAGGGUGCGUAGGCGGGUCUUUAAGUCAGGGGUGAAAUCCUGGAGCUCAACUCCAGAACUGCCUUUGAUACUGAGGAUCUUGAGUUCGGGAGAGGUGAGUGGAACUGCGAGUGUAGAGGUGAAAUUCGUAGAUAUUCGCAAGAACACCCGUGGCGAAGGCGGUUCUCUGGGACGGUACUGACGCUGAGACGCGAAAGCGUGGGGAGCGAACAGG
This 253-nucleotide ribosomal RNA is filed under the name uncultured bacterium. RNAcentral's name for it is "partial 16S ribosomal RNA". It matches the Rfam family "Bacterial small subunit ribosomal RNA", at positions 524 to 776 of the family's 1533-position model. The record is from RNAcentral.